GCGGUGGUAGUUCAGUUGGUAGAACGUCUCGUUGCCAACGAGAAGGUCGAGGGUUCGAGUCCCUUCCGCCGCUCUA
RNAcentral lists this transfer RNA (76 nucleotides) under Candidatus Roizmanbacteria bacterium CG11_big_fil_rev_8_21_14_0_20_36_8. RNAcentral describes it as "tRNA-Gly". It matches the Rfam family "tRNA". Rfam says of the family: Transfer RNA (tRNA) molecules are approximately 80 nucleotides in length. Their secondary structure includes four short double-helical elements and three loops (D, anti-codon, and T loops). Further hydrogen bonds mediate the characteristic L-shaped molecular structure. tRNAs have two regions of fundamental functional importance: the anti-codon, which is responsible for specific mRNA codon recognition, and the 3' end, to which the tRNAs corresponding amino acid is attached (by aminoacyl-tRNA synthetases). tRNAs cope with the degeneracy of the genetic code in two manners: having more than one tRNA (with a specific anti-codon) for a particular amino acid; and 'wobble' base-pairing, i.e. permitting non-standard base-pairing at the 3rd anti-codon position. Lineage: Bacteria; Candidatus Roizmaniibacteriota. The record is from RNAcentral.